AUCUGGGUAGCCCAGCGGGUUAGUGCGCGGACCCUCAAAGCUUGGACGGCGCCGUUUUUGUUAUACACCUAAAACUAAAAGAAAAUAAAUGGCCAUCAGCCAUUUCUUCAAAGCACGAAUUGAAUACCCAAUUAUUAGGGUUUCAACUCAACGGCCUUCAUUUGCUAAGGCUAUUUCAUCAUCAAUUCACCAUUAAAAUUGGUGAUUGAUGUAGGUUCGGCCUUUAUUUCUAUGGAAAAUCAACACUCAAAAUCACUUUUACUUAUGGAUCCGCAUUUCUAACCCCGAUUUUGACGGAGAAGCCAAGGGAUCUCAUCAAUGUAUUUAGCAGAGCAUGAGCGGAGACGCGCGCGAGGGCUGGUGGCGCACGUGUGGUGCUGGAGACCGACUGUUAGUUGCGGCGUGAGGGAGAUAGCUAACUGCUGGUGUUUUCCGGAAACCUCUAGGGUUUCUGGUGUUUUCAGUUAUUGGGCCUUUUUCGGGUCAUUUUGUGUCUCUGAUUUGGGCUUGUUUAAUGGACUAUUAAUUUGGACUUUAUUUUGGUUAUUUAUUUAUUUAUUUUGAUUUAUUUUUA
This is a long non-coding RNA of Gossypium arboreum, 574 nucleotides long. RefSeq lists it as uncharacterized. The record is from RefSeq and is a predicted model, not a curated record. Lineage: Eukaryota; Viridiplantae; Streptophyta; Magnoliopsida; Malvales; Malvaceae. The transcript has 2 exons.